GACGAACGCUGGCGGCGUGCUUAACACAUGCCAGUCGAACGGAAAGGCCUGCUUUCCCUUGUGGAUUGCGGGUACUCGAGUGGCGAACGGGUGAGUAACACGUGAGUGAUCUGCCCCCAACUUGGGUAUAAGCCUGGGAAACUGGGUCUAAUUCCCGAUAGGACUGCAGGGUGGUGCCUGUGGUGGAAAACGAUUUUCUAGUGGUUGGGGAUGAGCUCGCGGCCUAUCAGCUUGUUGGUGGGGUAAUGGCCUACCAAGGCGGCGACGGGUAGCCGGCCUGGGAGGGUGGACGGCCACAUUGGGACUGAGAUACGGCCCAGACUCCUACGGGAGGCAGCAGUGGGGAAUAUUGCACAAUGGGCGGAAGCCUGAUGCAGCGACGCCGCGUGGGGGAUGACGGCCUUCGGGUUGUAAACUCCUUUCGACCGCGAGGAAGCCACCUGGUUGGAAGGGUGGUGACGGUAGUGGUAGAAGAAGCACCGGCUAACUACGUG
This 494-nucleotide ribosomal RNA is filed under the name uncultured bacterium. Its description in RNAcentral is "partial 16S ribosomal RNA". It matches the Rfam family "Bacterial small subunit ribosomal RNA", at positions 28 to 507 of the family's 1533-position model. The record is from RNAcentral.